RNAcentral lists this long non-coding RNA (240 nucleotides) under Elaeis guineensis (African oil palm). RNAcentral describes it as "long non-coding RNA (EGUI_LNC007820)". Lineage: Eukaryota; Viridiplantae; Streptophyta; Magnoliopsida; Arecales; Arecaceae. The record is from RNAcentral.
GACCGAAUCGAGCAGCAAUAGAUAGAGGAAGGAUGUAAUCUUCAUUAUGCCUCUAAAACGAACAUCAUCUUGACUCUCCAGUGCCGUCGCCUCUCGUUAGGUAGAGAGCGAAGCCAACAGUCGAGCACAGCAACCGAAGAUUGAGACUCCCCCGCCAGCCCAGCUAGCACUGGUCACGACGGAUCAAUUCAGCUUGCUCUUCCAGUAGGUCCAAAAUUUGACGACCGUCGUUCAAGCGGU